Molecule: transfer RNA, 75 nt
Filed under: Caldalkalibacillus horti
Lineage: Bacteria; Bacillati; Bacillota; Bacilli; Caryophanales; Bacillaceae
Description: Bacillus horti tRNA-Gln
Rfam family: tRNA
About the family: Transfer RNA (tRNA) molecules are approximately 80 nucleotides in length.
Source: RNAcentral
UGGGCUAUAGCCAAGCGGUAAGGCAACGGACUUUGACUCCGUCAUUCCUUGGUUCGAAUCCAAGUAGCCCAGCCA